This 429-nucleotide ribosomal RNA is filed under the name Pseudomonadota bacterium. Its description in RNAcentral is "Proteobacteria bacterium partial 16S ribosomal RNA". It matches the Rfam family "Bacterial small subunit ribosomal RNA", at positions 355 to 776 of the family's 1533-position model. The record is from RNAcentral. Lineage: Bacteria; Pseudomonadati; Pseudomonadota.
UGGGGAAUAUUGGACAAUGGGCGAAAGCCUGAUCCAGCCAUGCCGCGUGUGUGAAGAAGGUCUUCGGAUUGUAAAGCACUUUAAGUUGGGAGGAAGGGCAGUAAGCGAAUACCUUGCUGUUUUGACGUUACCGACAGAAUAAGCACCGGCUAACUCUGUGCCAGCAGCCGCGGUAAUACAGAGGGUGCGAGCGUUAAUCGGAUUUACUGGGCGUAAAGCGUGCGUAGGCGGCUUUUUAAGUCGGAUGUGAAAUCCCCGAGCUUAACUUGGGAAUUGCAUUUGAUACUGGGAAGCUAGAGUAUGGGAGAGGAUGGUAGAAUUCCAGGUGUAGCGGUGAAAUGCGUAGAGAUCUGGAGGAAUACCGAUGGCGAAGGCAGCCAUCUGGCCUAAUACUGACGCUGAGGUACGAAAGCAUGGGGAGCAAACAGG